AUGGUGUGUAACUCAGGUGGUAGAGUGAUAGGCUUUUAACCUAUAAGUAGUUGGUUCAAACCCAAUCACACCAA
RNAcentral lists this transfer RNA (74 nucleotides) under Ephydatia fluviatilis. Its description in RNAcentral is "tRNA-Lys". It matches the Rfam family "tRNA". From Rfam's summary of the family: Transfer RNA (tRNA) molecules are approximately 80 nucleotides in length. The record is from RNAcentral. Lineage: Eukaryota; Metazoa; Porifera; Demospongiae; Spongillida; Spongillidae.